RNAcentral lists this ribosomal RNA (954 nucleotides) under Lasiodiplodia theobromae. RNAcentral describes it as "eukaryotic LSU rRNA". It matches the Rfam family "Eukaryotic large subunit ribosomal RNA", at positions 1 to 970 of the family's 3401-position model. The record is from RNAcentral. Lineage: Eukaryota; Fungi; Ascomycota; Dothideomycetes; Botryosphaeriales; Botryosphaeriaceae.
GGUUGACCUCGGAUCAGGUAGGGAUACCCGCUGAACUUAAGCAUAUCAAUAAGCGGAGGAAAAGAAACCAACAGGGAUUGCCUUAGUAACGGCGAGUGAAGCGGCAACAGCUCAAAUUUGAAAGCUGGCCCUUUUAGGGUCCGCAUUGUAAUUUGUAGAGGAUGAUUCGGCGAGGGCUCCUGCCUAAGUCCCCUGGAACGGGGCGUCAUAGAGGGUGAGAAUCCCGUAUGCGGUAGGUUGCCUUAGCCAUGUGAAUCUCCUUCGACGAGUCGAGUUGUUUGGGAAUGCAGCUCUAAAUGGGAGGUAAAUUUCUUCUAAAGCUAAAUACCGGCCAGAGACCGAUAGCGCACAAGUAGAGUGAUCGAAAGAUGAAAAGCACUUUGGAAAGAGAGUUAAAAAGUACGUGAAAUUGUUGAAAGGGAAGCGCUUGCAACCAGACUUGUCCGCAGUUGCUCAGCCGGUCUCCUGACCGGCGUACUCUUCUGCGGCCAGGCCAGCAUCAGUUCGGGCGGUCGGAUAAAGGCCUCGGGAAUGUGGCUCCUCUCGGGGAGUGUUAUAGCCCGGGGUGCAAUGCGGCCAGCCUGGACUGAGGAACUCGCUUCGGCAAGGAUGCUGGCGUAAUGGUUGUAAGCGGCCCGUCUUGAAACACGGACCAAGGAGUCUAACAUCUAUGCGAGUGUUCGGGUGUCAAACCCGUACGCGUAAUGAAAGUGAACGGAGGUGGGAACCCGCAAGGGUGCACCAUCGGCCGAUCCUGAUGUCUUCGGAUGGAUUUGAGCAAGAGCAUAGCUGUUGGGACCCGAAAGAUGGUGAACUAUGCCUGAAUAGGGUGAAGCCAGAGGAAACUCUGGUGGAGGCUCGCAGCGGUUCUGACGUGCAAAUCGAUCGUCAAAUUUGGGUAUAGGGGCGAAAGACUAAUCGAACCAUCUAGUAGCUGGUUCCUGCCGAAGUUUC